GCAUUCUUACAACAUAGCGUUAAUGCACCAUAUAUCAUUAGAACUUCGCAGUUAAGCUCACUCGAGCCAAAGUAGUACUGGGAUGGGUGACUGGGAUGGGUGACCGCCUGGGAAUUCCUAGUAUUUUACAUGCU
Picea glauca (white spruce) is the source of this 134-nucleotide non-coding RNA. The record is from Rfam. NCBI's taxonomy places the organism in Eukaryota, Viridiplantae, Streptophyta, Pinopsida, Pinales, Pinaceae.